Molecule: long non-coding RNA, 559 nt
Organism: Micropterus dolomieu (smallmouth bass)
Lineage: Eukaryota; Metazoa; Chordata; Actinopteri; Centrarchiformes; Centrarchidae
Exons: 2
Source: RefSeq, a predicted model, not a curated record
CAUUAAUCAACUAUUUGAUUUCUUAUGGCAGUAAUAGAGAAUUCUAAAUUGAGUGAACUCACAAGGUAAGAUGUCAACCUUCAGUUUGUGUUUGCAAGUACUAUAUAUUAGUACAAACUACAUAAACAACACCCUCCCGAUGUCAACACUUGUGAGUGGCUUAAAAGAUGAUCUAUAAGUCAGUGGGAAAGACAUUUGAGCCAGGAGGGUGGGUUUGAGCAUUGCUGUAGAGCUGUUCAGCUUUUCAAAGGAAACAAUCUCAAUGGCGUACAAUAGAUGUGCCAAAACACAAGACCUCAUCAGGAGAUAUGGACAAGAUUAUACCAGGAUGGAUUGAAGGAAACUUUAGGUGAAAUUACAUUAAGGAUGCGGCCUUCAUAAUCGGAAGCUGUAAGAGGAUCCGUAGAUAAAGAAGCAUCUAUCCAUCAACCCUGGAAGUGUGAAUCCUUGAUGUCUGUCAGGUUGGUUGUAACACAAGAAUUCUAUCAGCAGUAACUAAAAUGGCAUUUUUUAAAAUUUUUAUUUUGAUUUGAUUUCAAAUUAAAUGAUUAUUAUGUUA